Anolis carolinensis (green anole) is the source of this 1265-nucleotide long non-coding RNA. RefSeq lists it as uncharacterized. NCBI's taxonomy places the organism in Eukaryota, Metazoa, Chordata, Lepidosauria, Squamata, Anolidae. The record is from RefSeq and is a predicted model, not a curated record. The transcript is spliced from 2 exons.
AAGAACAUGUUUAGGUCAGGGCAACUCAUUUUCUGAGCACUGGCUGAUCUACAGGCUUUCCUGCCUGUAGGAAAAUGUGAAGGCUUCAUCACCUCCUCGUUUUAAGUGAGACCUCUCAGCUCCGGAAAAACCAUAUUUAUUACUACGGCGACAAGUUUAAAGAGACAACAGCUGAUUGUCAAAUCAAGCCUCUUCACUGGUGCGCCAUUUGCCUCAUCGCCGUUUUAUGCAUCAUCAAGUUCAGACUGCAUGCUGAACACGGAGAGGGUAAUCCAGGGGUCUCCUUGUGCCUCCAAUCUCCAUCUGCCCCUCCUCCCACUGAACCUUGGCUAGCUUGGCCAUGCUAUGGACAUUCAAUGAAACCCCCUUUCCUCUCCCUUGGAUUCUGUACUUUCCUAUGAGACGUAUGGAUUUACCCUGGACUUUUGGGUGGGUGGGAGUGGGCAAUAUGAUUUCUGAUUCUGUGAAUGUAUUCAGUGUAUCCCUAUAUGUCUCCUUUUUCCCUUAUGUCCCAAUGUAUGAAAUAUUAAGGAUCAUCUCUGUUUGACCUGGUUGGCAGAAAAGUCAACUGCAUUCCUGAGAAGGGAAAUCCUCUCAGAAAGGACACAAUCAAAUACCUUGCAUGAACAAUAGACACUGGUCUUCCCUUUUGAGUCUCGGAGCAGGCCGCUCAAAAGAGGAAUUGAUCACUUGGUUCCUUGUCACAUUCAAAUCUGGGACAAUCUAGCCUUUGGAAAGCCAAGAUUGUCCUGCCUGUCAUUCCUUUUGUCCAUUUACCCAGCCGAACAUAUUAACAAAGAACUCGCCCAUCUGCUCUGCUUCCAGGCUUUGGUAAACCGGAAUCUGGCAAGCCACACCAGACCAAUAUGGAUAUUUUUCACUCACGGAAAUAAUCUUUGGACACCUUGAGGGCUUUUGAGCUAUUGGUGCCAUUAUGUACAGAUUAGACCCACUGAUUCAUUCACUAAUCCACUCGGCAGCCCUUUGUCAAUGGCUCAGACUGCCCUCUCGCUCCUGAUUGGUUGAGGAGCCGAAGCGGGGAUGGCUCUCUGAUUGGGUGAGGCAUUCGCGCCUCUCCUCCAGCUGAUUAUGACAGCCAAUCGGCAUGAGGCCGGCUAGGGAAGGUGUGGUGGGAAGUUCAAAUCUCACCACCCAGUUUCUUUAAUAUAAAGUGUGCUGUAUCCUGUUGUAUGUCAUGUCUUCUUGACAAAUGAUUGCUGUUGACAUCCUAUCCAGCUAGAUCGAAUAAAAUUUGGUGGUCUUCA